RNAcentral lists this unclassified non-coding RNA (145 nucleotides) under Levilactobacillus brevis. RNAcentral describes it as "Lactobacillus brevis 16S-23S ribosomal RNA intergenic spacer". The record is from RNAcentral. Lineage: Bacteria; Bacillati; Bacillota; Bacilli; Lactobacillales; Lactobacillaceae.
UUGUUCUUUGAAAACUAGAUAUUAUCAAUUAUUUUCCUUUAAUUAUUAAGAUAAUUAAACCGAGAAACAACUGCGUAUUUUUGAGUUUUUUAAUUAGUUUAUCGCUAAUACUCAAUUAAUUUGACGAUCACGAAGUGACCGUUAG